RNAcentral lists this ribosomal RNA (465 nucleotides) under Vreelandella stevensii. Its description in RNAcentral is "partial 16S ribosomal RNA". It matches the Rfam family "Bacterial small subunit ribosomal RNA", at positions 338 to 795 of the family's 1533-position model. Lineage: Bacteria; Pseudomonadati; Pseudomonadota; Gammaproteobacteria; Oceanospirillales; Halomonadaceae. The record is from RNAcentral.
CCUACGGGCGGCAGCAGUGGGGAAUAUUGGACAAAGGGCGAAAGCCUGAUCCAGCCAUGCCGCGUGUGUGAAGAAGGCCUUCGGGUUGUAAAGCACUUUCAGUGGGGAAGAAAGCCUUGGGGCUAAUACCCUCGAGGAAGGACAUCACCCACAGAAGAAGCACCGGCUAACUCCGUGCCAGCAGCCGCGGUAAUACGGAGGGUGCGAGCGUUAAUCGGAAUUACUGGGCGUAAAGCGCGCGUAGGCGGUCUGAUAAGCCGGUUGUGAAAGCCCCGGGCUCAACCUGGGAACGGCAUCCGGAACUGUCAGGCUAGAGUGCAGGAGAGGAAGGUAGAAUUCCCGGUGUAGCGGUGAAAUGCGUAGAGAUCGGGAGGAAUACCAGUGGCGAAGGCGGCCUUCUGGACUGACACUGACGCUGAGGUGCGAAAGCGUGGGUAGCAAACAGGAUUAGAUACCCUGGUAGUC